CGGGGAGUAGCUCAGCUUGGUAGAGCGCUGGUUUUGGGAACCAGAUGUCGCAGGUUCGAAUCCUGUCUCCCCGACCA
This 77-nucleotide transfer RNA is filed under the name Roseibacillus ishigakijimensis. RNAcentral describes it as "tRNA-Pro". It matches the Rfam family "tRNA". Rfam says of the family: Transfer RNA (tRNA) molecules are approximately 80 nucleotides in length. Their secondary structure includes four short double-helical elements and three loops (D, anti-codon, and T loops). Further hydrogen bonds mediate the characteristic L-shaped molecular structure. tRNAs have two regions of fundamental functional importance: the anti-codon, which is responsible for specific mRNA codon recognition, and the 3' end, to which the tRNAs corresponding amino acid is attached (by aminoacyl-tRNA synthetases). tRNAs cope with the degeneracy of the genetic code in two manners: having more than one tRNA (with a specific anti-codon) for a particular amino acid; and 'wobble' base-pairing, i.e. permitting non-standard base-pairing at the 3rd anti-codon position. The record is from RNAcentral. RNAcentral also lists the same sequence under 8 other names. Lineage: Bacteria; Pseudomonadati; Verrucomicrobiota; Verrucomicrobiia; Verrucomicrobiales; Verrucomicrobiaceae.